UUUCUUGGCGAUGCUGACAGGCUCCUCCAAGUAAUGAACCAAAGCUUCCCGGAAUUGGGUUUGACGCGGAAAGACUGUAUUGAAACAAGCUGGAUCAAAUCCGUGCUUUACAUUGCUGGCUACCCGAGUGAUACACCCCCAGAGGUUCUACAACAAGGAAAGUCAUUAUUCAAGAACUAUUUCAAAGCCAAAUCAGACUUUGUGCAACGACCCAUACCUGAAACUGGUCUCGAGGGGCUAUGGAAAAGGUUAUUGCAAGAAGACUCUCCGUUGAUGAUAUGGAACCCUUACGGUGGAAUGAUGGCCAACAUUUCAGAAUCUGCCAUCGCUUUUCCCCACAGGAAAGGUAACUUAUUCAAAAUCCA
This 365-nucleotide long non-coding RNA is filed under the name Theobroma cacao (cacao). RNAcentral describes it as "long non-coding RNA (TCAC_LNC003644)". The record is from RNAcentral. Lineage: Eukaryota; Viridiplantae; Streptophyta; Magnoliopsida; Malvales; Malvaceae.